This 497-nucleotide ribosomal RNA is filed under the name uncultured bacterium. Its description in RNAcentral is "partial 16S ribosomal RNA". It matches the Rfam family "Bacterial small subunit ribosomal RNA", at positions 28 to 507 of the family's 1533-position model. The record is from RNAcentral.
GAUGAACGCUGGCGGCGUGCCUAAUACAUGCAAGUCGAGCGAACAGACGAGGAGCUUGCUCCUCUGACGUUAGCGGCGGACGGGUGAGUAACACGUGGAUAACCUACCUAUAAGACUGGGAUAACUUCGGGAAACCGGAGCUAAUACCGGAUAAUAUAUUGAACCGCAUGGUUCAAUAGUGAAAGACGGUUUUGCUGUCACUUAUAGAUGGAUCCGCGCCGCAUUAGCUAGUUGGUAAGGUAACGGCUUACCAAGGCAACGAUGCGUAGCCGACCUGAGAGGGUGAUCCGCCACACUGGAACUGAGACACGGUCCAGACUCCUAAGGGAGGCAGCAGGAGGGAAUCUUCCGCAAUUGGCGAAAGGUUGACGGAGCAACGCCGCGUGGGGGAAGAAGGUCUUCGGAUCGGAAAACUCUGUUAUUAGGGAAGAACAAAUGUGUAAGUAACUAUGCACGUCUUGACGGUACCUAAUCAGAAAGCCACGGCUUACUACGGU